Long non-coding RNA from Hemicordylus capensis (graceful crag lizard), 585 nucleotides. RefSeq lists it as uncharacterized. The record is from RefSeq and is a predicted model, not a curated record. Lineage: Eukaryota; Metazoa; Chordata; Lepidosauria; Squamata; Cordylidae. The transcript is spliced from 4 exons.
CGUUUACUUUCCUCUUCAGAAGAUGCAAAAACUGAAGGAUUACCUGUCUGGAUCUAAGAAGCUCAAAGAUGGCCUUAAAAAUGAUCCGCCUCCUUACAGCCCACCUUUCAAUGACAUGGCAGCUUUCAGGGUUCUGGAUCUUCCCCCUUACAGCCCUUCUGAUAUCAGUGAUACCACAGCCAUCACAGAAGAGAAACAGAAGUCAGAAUGAUUAGACGGUUGGACUAGAACUGAGGAGACCUGAACUGAAAUCUCCAUUCAGCCAUGAAACUCACUGGGUGAAUCUGGGCUGGUCACAUCUCUCAGCCCAACCUACCUGACAGGGUGGUUGUGACCACAUACGCUGCUCUAGGCUCCUUGAAGGAAGAGCACAUAUAAAUGUAACUAAAUGAAUUUUGUCUACUGGUAUGUGACUUUUUGAAAAUGGCAGCUUCAGGAGCCCUAAUGGGUUGAAUGACGGGACUGAGAUGUGUCUCUUGGCCUCAAGGGAUGGAGUGCAACCGAAAUGAAUAAAGCAAAAAAUCUGUAUCAUAUCAAUAACAUCAGUAUUUAGCAGAUGUUUGAAGUGUGUCUGUACUCAUUUAC